GGUCACUUAAAUAAUGGAAGCAUCGUGUUGCAAAUUGGAGGUACCAAAGUGGAGGAUGCUGCCUGGCUUCAAAAAGCAGAUGACUACAACCACAUCAAUGUUGCUGAGUUGGACGUAGUACUGAAGGGUGUGAAUUUCGCCCUGAAAUGGGAGCUGCACUCCAUCAAAAUCAGGAUGGAUUUGGCUACCGUGCUUGGCUGGGUAAGAUCAGUGAUCACUGACAAGAAG
Molecule: long non-coding RNA, 228 nt
Organism: Octopus sinensis (East Asian common octopus)
Lineage: Eukaryota; Metazoa; Mollusca; Cephalopoda; Octopoda; Octopodidae
Exons: 4
Source: RefSeq, a predicted model, not a curated record